This 425-nucleotide ribosomal RNA is filed under the name uncultured bacterium. RNAcentral describes it as "partial 16S ribosomal RNA". It matches the Rfam family "Bacterial small subunit ribosomal RNA", at positions 354 to 796 of the family's 1533-position model. The record is from RNAcentral.
GUGGGGAAUCUUGCGCAAUGGGCGCAAGCCUGAUCCAGCCAUGCCGCGUGAGUGAUGAAGGCCUUCGGGUUGUAAAGCUCUUUAGUCCACGAAUAUAAUGACUGUAGUGGAAGAAUAAGCCCCGGCUAACUUCGUGCCAGCAGCCGCGGUAAUACGAAGGGGGCGAGCGUUAUUCGGAAUCACUGGGCGUAAAGCGUGCGUAGGCUGUUUUGUAAGUCAGAAGUGAAAGCCCAGGGCUUAACCCUGGAAUUGCUUUUGAAACUACAAGACUCGAAUUCGGGAGAGGAUAGCGGAAUUGUCAGUGUAGCAGUGAAAUGCGUAGAUAUUGACAGGAACACCAGUGGCGCAAGCGGCUAUCUGGACCGAUAUUGACGCUGAGGCACGAAAGCGUGGGGAGCAAACAGGAUUAGAUACCCGUGUAGUCC